UGGGUAACGUGCCCCGAUGACUGGGACAACCCGGGGAAACCCGGGCUAAUACCGGAUGUGCUCCCUCACCUCGGUGAGACGAGUAAAGGAAGCUUCGGCCUCCGCAUUGGGAUCGGCCCGCGGCCCAUUAGCUUGUUGGUGAGGUAACGGCUCACCAAGGCCGCGAUGGGUAGCUGGUCUGAGAGGACGAUCAGCCACACUGGGACUGAGACACGGCCAGACUCCGUACGGGGAGCAG
This 238-nucleotide ribosomal RNA is filed under the name uncultured bacterium. Its description in RNAcentral is "partial 16S ribosomal RNA". It matches the Rfam family "Bacterial small subunit ribosomal RNA", at positions 118 to 351 of the family's 1533-position model. The record is from RNAcentral.